GUCACUUUGCCGGAGUGGUUAACGGGAUCGCCUGCUAACAGCGAAGCGGUUGGGCUUUGCCCGCGAGUGUUCGAAUCGCUCAGGUGACG
Molecule: non-coding RNA, 89 nt
Organism: Rhizopogon vinicolor AM-OR11-026
Lineage: Eukaryota; Fungi; Basidiomycota; Agaricomycetes; Boletales; Rhizopogonaceae
Source: the annotation of a GenBank genome assembly